RNAcentral lists this ribosomal RNA (465 nucleotides) under uncultured bacterium. Its description in RNAcentral is "partial 16S ribosomal RNA". It matches the Rfam family "Bacterial small subunit ribosomal RNA", at positions 28 to 507 of the family's 1533-position model. The record is from RNAcentral.
GACGAACGCUGGCGGCGUGCUUAACACAUGCAAGUCGAACGGAAAGGCCCCUUUGGGGGUCCUCGAGUGGCGAACGGGUGCGUAACACGUGAGUAACCUGCCCUUGACUUCGGGAUAACUUCAGGAAACUGGGGCUAAUACCGGAUAGGAAUCCUUGCUGCAUGGUGGGGGUUGGAAAGCUUCGGCGGUUUUGGAUGGACUCGCGGCUUAUCAGCUUGUUGGUGGGGUAGUGGCUUACCAAGGCUUUGACGGGUAGCCGGCCUGAGAGGGCGACCGGCCACAUUGGGACUGAGAUACGGCCCAGACUCCUACGGGAGGCAGCAGUGGGGAAUAUUGCACAAUGGGCGGAAGCCUGAUGCAGCAACGCCGCGUGCGGGAGGACGGCCUUCGGGUUGUAAACCGCUUUCAGCAGGGGCGAAGCUUGUGGUGACGGUACCUGCAGAAGAAGCACCGGCUAACUACGUG